This 1439-nucleotide long non-coding RNA is filed under the name Piliocolobus tephrosceles (Ugandan red Colobus). Its description in RNAcentral is "lncRNA (ENSPTEG00000008346.1)". Lineage: Eukaryota; Metazoa; Chordata; Mammalia; Primates; Cercopithecidae. The record is from RNAcentral.
GUCACAACAGUCACAACAGUCACAACAAUUACAACAGUCACAAUAGUUAUAACAAUUUAUUUAACACAAAAAAUGGGGAAGGUUAUGAUAGUGUAUUGGAUGAUAUAAAAAAUAGAUCUACAAAUGGGGAGGUGGUACGUAUAGAAAAUAUUGACAGUAUCACACACUUACCAGAAGAAACAUACGAUGAUAGAAAAGUUUGUAAAUAUAUUUUAAAUUAUUUAUUUAAUAUAUAUUAUGAAAAAUAUUUGGGACUAAAAAAUUUGUAUAAUACAUUUAAUAUGCAUAAUACAUAUAAGUUAAAAUAUUGUAAAGCAGAAAAAAAUGUAUUUAAAUUUAUAUGUUAUGAAAAAGUUGAAUUAGAAAAAAGAAAUAUAUUAUUAAUUAAAAGUAAAAAUGUAAAUAAUGAUUUUUUGUUAGGGGUUGUAAAAAAAUGUGAACGAGUCGACGAUUUUUAUUUUAUUUAUUUGGAGUUGAAAAGAUAUGGUGGUAGUGGCAGUAAUACCACCACUACUAACAGUACCGCCACUACUAACACCUUUUGUAACACUUUGGGUAAUGAGUAUCCACAUAAUAGCCAUAGUGUGGAUAAUAGUGAUAGGUUCUUGGUUUAUGAAGACUUAGACAUAAGUGAAGACUGCAUUGAGGUGUACCUAAACAAUAAUAGGCAUGGAGUUGGUUUAUCUUUUUCAACUACAGAUGAAGGUUUUAAUAAUAAUAAUAAUAAUAAUAGUAGUAGUAGUAUUAGUAGUAGUAGUAUUAGUAGUAGUAGUAGUAGUAUUAGUAGUAGUAUUAGUAGUAGUAUUAGUAGUAGUAUUAGUAGUAGUAUUAGUAGUAGUAUUAGUAGUAGUAGGGAACAAAUAAAUGAUAAUAACAAAAUGUCAGAUAUACAAAAAAAUUGUGACGAAUAUGAAGCUGCCACUUUAACUAUACACCUAAACACCAUUUCAAACAGAAUUAAAAAUUCGAUGUUAUCCAUUUUUUCAAAAUAUAAUAAAAAAAUGGAUAUAAAUAAAUGUAGUAAAAAUAUGAUAGUUAAUAUUUUAUUAAACGAAUCGAAUGAUAAGAAUAGAAAUAUGUCAAGUUUAAAAAAUAAGAAACCUUUUGAAAUUUAUAAAAAAUUAAAACAGAAUUACAGCAUUUUAGUUGAAGAAGCUAUAAAUACGUUUUUAAAAAAAAGACAAAAUGAAUCAUCAGAAAUAUCCAUUUUUAAUAAAGAAUUGAUUAAAAAUGAUAAAAUAAUAAAAAAAUUAUAUACAAAAUUAAAAAAUAAUUUAGAUGAAUAUGCAAAAAUGUACUCUAUAUAUAUUAAUUUUGAUAUAUAUCAAAAAAAUAUUUUAUAUGAAUUAUUAAUAAAUGAAAAAAAUAUUCCUAUACAUUUAAUUCAUGGUGCUCCUGGUAGUGGUAAAAGUAACUUAAUCGCUUUUGUCAUAUAUGUU